AGUGAACGCUGGCGGUAGGCCCAACACAUGCAAGUCGAACGGCAGCACAGUAAGAGCUUGCUCUUACGGGUGGCGAGUGGCGGACGGGUGAGGAAUACAUCGGAAUCUACUUUUUCGUGGGGGAUAACGUAGGGAAACUUACGCUAAUACCGCAUACGACCUACGGGUGAAAGCAGGGGAUCUUCGGACCUUGCGCGAUUGAAUGAGCCGAUGUCGGAUUAGCUAGUUGGCGGGGUAAAGGCCCACCAAGGCGACGAUCCGUAGCUGGUCUGAGAGGAUGAUCAGCCACACUGGAACUGAGACACGGUCCAGACUCCUACGGGAGGCAGCAGUGGGGAAUAUUGGACAAUGGGCGCAAGCCUGAUCCAGCCAUACCGCGUGGGUGAAGAAGGCCUUCGGGUUGUAAAGCCCUUUUGUCGGGAAAGAAAAGCAGCAGGUUAAUACCCCGCUGUUCUGACGGUACCCAAAGAAUAAGCACCGGCUAACUUCGUG
This 492-nucleotide ribosomal RNA is filed under the name uncultured bacterium. RNAcentral's name for it is "partial 16S ribosomal RNA". It matches the Rfam family "Bacterial small subunit ribosomal RNA", at positions 29 to 507 of the family's 1533-position model. The record is from RNAcentral.